ACAAGUUGGUAUCAGAGCCCUGGUUUAAGAGAUUCAAGUAUAGUGGGGACUAUACUUGGACUUAAACCGUGUGUUCUUACUCGGGAAGGCGUGUUCGGUUCGAGGCUUGAUCGCAAAAUCCGGUAAGUAUAAUUUAUUAAUGGUUUAGCAUGGAUACUCCCAUCUGAAGAUGGCGAGAGUAUAACAAGUAACGGGCAUGACAGAGGAACGACCCAAAGUACGACAAGUGGAGCAUACUCACCAAGGACCUAAAUCGCGCAAUAGUCGCGAACAAGGUUAACGGCAUGGAAAGCCCGUUAGGGCAAGCAUUACCAGGUGCACAUUAUAAAUUAAUCGCAUUAAGUAGAAAUAAGUGUUAUUCACAGGAUGAAUAACAAAACAAUAACGAAACUAGUCUAUAUGGAAACUUGGACGGAAGUAACUAUCCAACUGUAUAUUCUCAAUACAGAUAUUAUCGAGAAGUGUAACCAUCACACUAACAAAUAUGAUUACAUAAUAGUUUGAUAAAAGAGAAAACAAUAUAUAUGUUCAAGUGUAAAACUAGUAAAACUAAUGAUUGUCGUUUUGCAAUUAAAUAAAGUUUUACUAAAUGAAACCAGAGAUACGAAAUAAAUAGAGGCAUUACUUACAUAGGGCGUAAUGUGAAAGCUAUAAAAAGGUCAUGUGUGUCAUGUGUUGACCGCUUACUCUGGCCAAGUAAGUAGUGGCAUAUGAUACCAUGAACUUCUUGUAGUGGACACAUUUACGUCCGAUGUAGUAAGGACGGGGUGAAUGGGACUAACUUAAAUGGUACCCAAAUGAGUCAAAAAGUAGGAUGUUUGGUAAAAACGUAAGCGCAAGCCCGAUGACGGAAGCGUACUACGUUAGAAUAAUGAGCCCGAGAGAAGGGACAAAGAUCAAAGUAAAUAAAAAUACAGACCGACUAAUGAGAAUGGGUUAAGCGUAGAGAUAAAAUUUGGACUAUCAUAAGUAAUGAAAUUCACAUUAACAUGUC
This 994-nucleotide long non-coding RNA is filed under the name Helianthus annuus (common sunflower). Its description in RNAcentral is "hypothetical non coding rna". The record is from RNAcentral. Lineage: Eukaryota; Viridiplantae; Streptophyta; Magnoliopsida; Asterales; Asteraceae.